RNAcentral lists this ribosomal RNA (445 nucleotides) under uncultured soil bacterium. Its description in RNAcentral is "bacterial SSU rRNA". It matches the Rfam family "Bacterial small subunit ribosomal RNA", at positions 26 to 518 of the family's 1533-position model. The record is from RNAcentral.
AGAACGAACGCUGGCGGCAUGCCUAAUACAUGCAAGUCGAACGAGGGCUUCGGCCUUAGUGGCGCACGGGUGCGUAACGCGUGGGAAUCUGCCCCUUGGUUCGGAAUAACAGUUGGAAACGACUGCUAAUACCGGAUGAUGACGAAAGUCCAAAGAUUUAUCGCCAAGGGAUGAGCCCGCGUAGGAUUAGCUAGUUGGUGAGGUAAAGGCUCACCAAGGCGACGAUCCUUAGCUGGUCUGAGAGGAUGGUCAGCCACACUGGGACUGAGACACGGCCCAGACUCCUACGGGAGGCAGCAGUAGGGAAUCUGCGCAAUGGGCGAAAGCCUGACGCAGCCAUGCCGCGUGAAUGAUGAAGGUCUUAGGAUUGUAAAAUUCUUUCGACCGGGACGAUAAUGACGGUACCCGGAGAAGAAGCCCGGCUAACUUCGUAGCCAGCAGCCGC